RNAcentral lists this ribosomal RNA (266 nucleotides) under uncultured bacterium. Its description in RNAcentral is "partial 16S ribosomal RNA". It matches the Rfam family "Bacterial small subunit ribosomal RNA", at positions 88 to 354 of the family's 1533-position model. The record is from RNAcentral.
AUGGCGACCGGCGCACGGGUGAGUAACACGUAUCCAACCUGCCGAUGACUCGGGGAUAGCCUUUCGAAAAGAAAGAUUAAUACCCGAUGGCAUAGUUCUUCCGCAUGGUAGAACUAUUAAAGAAUUUCGGUCAUCGAUGGGGAUGCGUUCCAUUAGCUUGUUGGCGGGGUAACGGCCCACCAAGGCAUCGAUGGAUAGGGGUUCUGAGAGGAAGGUCCCCCACAUUGGAACUGAGACACGGUCCAAACUCCUACGGAAGGCAGCAG